CACGUAGGGGGCGAGCGUUGUCCGGAUUUAUUGGGCGUAAAGAGCUCGUAGGCGGUUUCGUAAGCCGGAUGUGAAAACUCCAGGCUCAACUUGGAGACGCCAUUCGAUACUGCGAUGACUUGAGUCCGGUAGGGGAGUGUGGAAUUCCUGGUGUAGCGGUGAAAUGCGCAGAUAUCAGGAGGAACACCGGCGGCGAAGGCGGCACUCUGGGCCGGUACUGACGCUGAGGAGCGAAAGCGUGGGUAGCAAACAGG
RNAcentral lists this ribosomal RNA (254 nucleotides) under uncultured bacterium. RNAcentral's name for it is "partial 16S ribosomal RNA". It matches the Rfam family "Bacterial small subunit ribosomal RNA", at positions 524 to 776 of the family's 1533-position model. The record is from RNAcentral.